UCAAACUUGGUCAUUUAGAGGAAGUAAAAGUCGUAACAAGGUCUCCGUUGGUGAACCAGCGGAGGGAUCAUUACAGGACUCACACUCCCGUAAUACCACUGUGAAUCUUACCUACCGUCGUUGCCUCGGCGGGGUCGGUCCCCCUUGGGGGGCGCCCGCCGGCGGCCCGCAUACUCUGUCUCAGCGUGUUGGCAUCUCCGAGUACAAUACAAACGAGUCAAAACUUUCAACAACGGAUCUCUUGGUUCUGGCAUCGAUGAAGAACGCAGC
This 270-nucleotide unclassified non-coding RNA is filed under the name uncultured fungus. RNAcentral's name for it is "partial contains small subunit ribosomal RNA, internal transcribed spacer 1, and 5.8S ribosomal RNA". The stretch from base 1 to 73 matches the Rfam family "Eukaryotic small subunit ribosomal RNA", at positions 1759 to 1831 of the family's 1831-position model. Lineage: Eukaryota; Fungi. The record is from RNAcentral.